UACGGAGGGUACAAGCGUUAUCCGGAUUCACUGGGUUUAAAGGGUGCGUAGGUGGAUUAGUAAGUCAGUGGUGAAAUCUCCGGGCUUAACCCGGAAACUGCCAUUGAUACUAUUAGUCUUGAAUACCGUGGAGGUCAGCGGAAUAUGUCAUGUAGCGGUGAAAUGCUUAGAUAUGACAUAGAACACCAAUUGCGAAGGCAGCUGGCUACACGAGCAUUGACACUCAGGCACGAAAGCGUGGGGAUCAAACAGG
RNAcentral lists this ribosomal RNA (253 nucleotides) under uncultured bacterium. RNAcentral describes it as "partial 16S ribosomal RNA". It matches the Rfam family "Bacterial small subunit ribosomal RNA", at positions 524 to 776 of the family's 1533-position model. The record is from RNAcentral.